Molecule: long non-coding RNA, 1156 nt
Organism: Xyrauchen texanus (razorback sucker)
Lineage: Eukaryota; Metazoa; Chordata; Actinopteri; Cypriniformes; Catostomidae
Exons: 3
Source: RefSeq, a predicted model, not a curated record
AAGAAAAGAAGAAGCGGACAUGAAAAAUACAGACAAACCACACUAAAUUGUUGAAAUCGUGGAUACUCCAGAGACAGGCUCAAGGGGCUUUCCUGAAUGUGUGUCCAGAGCUGGAGUUAAAUGAAACCUCAGAUUUUAACAAUUUCGCUCUGCUUUUUCCUGUUCAGUUCUACAUGCUGAAGGAACUUAUCAGUCCAAUCAUCCAGAGGCAAAACAUGAACUACCAGGAUUGCAUUCCGUAAGGGAACGUCUGAUGAUUACACUAUGUUUCUUGACAACAGGAGAAAGCUUCAAGAGCCUUUCUUACCAGUUCAGAGUGGAAGUGGCAAACUACCAGUGCCCAGUCACAGUGGAAGAGUGGCAGCAAGUAGCCAAUGGGUUCCAGGCUCAGUGGAACUUUCCAAACUGCCUGACGUGAAACACGUCAACAUUUGCUACCACCAGGAACUGGAUCAACAUUCUACAACUACAAGCAUACAUUUUCCAUAGUUCUAAUAGCACUAGUCGACAGCAAUUACAGAUUCCUGCAUGUAGAUGUGGGUUGCAAUGGGUGGAUUUCAGAUGGUGGAGUGUUUGGUGGAUGCUCACUGCAGGAUGCCCUGGAGAACAAAACAUUGAACAUCCCUGCCCCUACACCACUUCCUGAAUCUGACCUGCUGGCUCCUUAUUGCGUUGUGGCAGAUGUGGCAUUUCCCUUGAAUGAGUACCUCAUGAAGCCAUAUCCAAACUGCAGGCUAUCUGUAGAGCAACGCAUCUUCAAUUACAGGCUUUCGCAAGCUCAGAGGUUGGUAGAAAAUGCAUUUGGCCUCCUAGCAAACCGUUUUCGAGUCUUUCUAACCACCAUUAAUAUUCAAAACACUGCCAAAAUGGAGGAUAUUGUUUAGGCUUGCUGUGUUCUGCACAAUUUUCUGCGUACAGAGUUAUGUGAACUGGCGGGAAUCAACCAGGAAUGACCUGAUUAUGGCACUGUCCCAGGAAGAUGGAGACAAGACCAUGACCUACAGCAGGCCUCCCUGCCACACACACAACCAACAGUACAACACAAGCCAAACAGCUCAGGGAUAAACUAUGCCAGUACUUUAAUUCAGACAUUGGUGCAGUGCCCUUUCAGUGGGGCAAAAUAUAGCAUGUAUGCAAAAUACAGGAAAAGUGUGAA